This 790-nucleotide ribosomal RNA is filed under the name uncultured bacterium. RNAcentral's name for it is "bacterial SSU rRNA". It matches the Rfam family "Bacterial small subunit ribosomal RNA", at positions 22 to 801 of the family's 1533-position model. The record is from RNAcentral.
GCUCAGAUUGAACGCUGGCGGCAGGCUUAACACAUGCAAGUCGAGCGGUAGCACAGGGGAGCUUGCUCCCUGGGUGACGAGCGGCGGACGGGUGAGUAAUGUCUGGGAAACUGCCUGAUGGAGGGGGAUAACUACUGGAAACGGUAGCUAAUACCGCAUAACGUCGCAAGACCAAAGAGGGGGACCUUCGGGCCUCUUGCCAUCAGAUGUGCCCAGAUGGGAUUAGCUAGUAGGUGGGGUAAUGGCUCACCUAGGCGACGAUCCCUAGCUGGUCUGAGAGGAUGACCAGCCACACUGGAACUGAGACACGGUCCAGACUCCUACGGGAGGCAGCAGUGGGGAAUAUUGCACAAUGGGCGCAAGCCUGAUGCAGCCAUGCCGCGUGUGUGAAGAAGGCCUUCGGGUUGUAAAGCACUUUCAGCGAGGAGGAAGGUGGUGAACUUAAUACGUUCAUCAAUUGACGUUACUCGCAGAAGAAGCACCGGCUAACUCCGUGCCAGCAGCCGCGGUAAUACGGAGGGUGCAAGCGUCAACCGGAAUUACUGGGCGUAAAGCGCACGCAGGCGGUUUGUUAAGUCAGAUGUGAAAUCCCCGGGCUCAACCUGGGAACUGCAUUUGAAACUGGCAAGCUAGAGUCUCGUAGAGGGGGGUAGAAUUCCAGGUGUAGCGGUGAAAUGCGUAGAGAUCUGGAGGAAUACCGGUGGCGAAGGCGGCCCCCUGGACAAAGACUGACGCUCANGUGCGAAAGCGUGGGGAGUAAACAGGAUUAGAUACCCUGGUAGUCCACGCU